UACGUAGGGUGCAAGCGUUGUCCGGAAUUAUUGGGCGUAAAGGGCUCGUAGGCGGUCCAUCGCGUCGGGUGUGAAAAGCUGGGGCUCAACCCCAGUCCUGCUUUCGAUACGGGUGGACUAGAGGUAGGCAGGGGAGAACGGAAUUCCUGGUGUAGCGGUGAAAUGCGCAGAUAUCGGGAGGAACACCGGUGGCGAAGGCGGCCUUCUGGACGGAUACUGACGCUGAUACGCGAAAGCGUGGGGAGCAAACAGG
This 253-nucleotide ribosomal RNA is filed under the name uncultured bacterium. RNAcentral's name for it is "partial 16S ribosomal RNA". It matches the Rfam family "Bacterial small subunit ribosomal RNA", at positions 524 to 776 of the family's 1533-position model. The record is from RNAcentral.